GUGGCUUGUAAAGGCUGCUGGAGGUAUCAGAAGUGCGAAUGCUGACAUGAGUAGCGAUAAAGGGAGUGAAAAGCUCCCUCGCCGUAAGUCCAAGGUUUCCUGCGCAACGUUCAUCGGCGCAGGGUGAGUCGGCCCCUAAGGUGAGGCAGAGAUGCGUAGCUGAUGGGAAGUAGGUUAAUAUUCCUACACCGACAUUAAAUGCGAAGGGGGGACGGAUAGCGGAAUGCGAGCGGGUGAUUGGUUGUACCCGUAGUUGGUACUAAGAAGGUGGUUAGGCAAAUCCGGCCACGUAAUUCAAGGUAUUGAUGCGAAGGGGUCUUGUACCCCGAAGUCGUAGGAAGGUGUCCCAGGAAAAGCCUCUAAGCUCUAGUUUAAUGUUGACCGUACCGCAAACCGACACAGGUGGACGGGAUGAAUAUUCCAAGGCGCUUGAGAGAACUCAGGAGAAGGAACUCGGCAAAUUGAUACCGUAACUUCGGGAGAAGGUAUGCCCUGUUAGCGUGUUAAAGCGCGAGAGGGUCGCAGAGAAUAGGUGGCUGCGACUGUUUAUUAAAAACACAGCACUCUGCAAACACGAAAGUGGACGUAUAGGGUGUGACGCCUGCCCGGUGCUGGAAGGUUAAGUGAUGGGGUGCAAGCUCUUGAUCGAAGCCCCAGUAAACGGCGGCCGUAACUAUAACGGUCCUAAGGUAGCGAAAUUCCUUGUCGGGUAAGUUCCGACCUGCACGAAUGGCGUAACGAUGGCCACACUGUCUCCUCCUGAGACUCAGCGAAGUUGAAGUGUUUGUGAUGAUGCAAUCUCCCCGCGGCUAGACGGAAAGACCCCAUGAACCUUUACUGUAGCUUUACAUUGGAUUGUGAACCGGCCUGUGUAGGAUAGGUGGGAGGCGCUGAAGGUAGGACGCUAGUUUUACUGGAGCCGUCCUUGAAAUACCACCCUGGUUUGUUUGCGGUUCUAACCUAGGCCCGUGAUCCGGGUUGGGGACAGUGUAUGGUGGGCAGUUUGACUGGGGCGGUCUCCUCCCAAAGUGUAACGGAGGAGUUCGAAGGUACGCUAGGUACGGUCGGAAAUCGUGCUGAUAGUGCAUUGGCAUAAGCGUGCUUGACUGUGAGACUGACAAGUCGAACAGGUGCGAAAGCAGGACAAAGUGAUCCGGUGGUUCUGAAUGGAAGGGCCAUCGCUCAACGGAUAAAAGGUACUCUGGGGAUAACAGGCUGAUACCGCCCAAGAGUUCAUAUCGACGGCGGUGUUUGGCACCUCGAUGUCGGCUCAUCUCAUCCUGGGGCUGUAGCCGGUCCCAAGGGUAUGGCUGUUCGCCAUUUAAAGAGGUACGUGAGCUGGGUUUAAAACGUCGUGAGACAGUUUGGUCCCUAUCUGCCGUGGGCGUUGGAUACUUGACGGAGGCUGCUCCUAGUACGAGAGGACCGGAGUGGACGUACCGCUGGUGUAUCGGUUGUCAUGCCAAUGGCAUUGCCGAGUAGCUAAGUACGGAAGAGAUAACCGCUGAAGGCAUCUAAGCGGGAAACUCGUCUGAAGAUAAGGUAUCCCGGGAGUUUAACUCCCCUAAAGGGUCGUUCGAGACCAGGACGUUGAUAGGCUGGGUGUGGAAGUGCAGUAAUGCAUGUAGCUAACCAGUACUAAUUGCCCGUGCGGCUUGAUCCUAUAACUUUA
Molecule: ribosomal RNA, 1672 nt
Filed under: Pelistega europaea
Lineage: Bacteria; Pseudomonadati; Pseudomonadota; Betaproteobacteria; Burkholderiales; Alcaligenaceae
Description: partial 23S ribosomal RNA
Rfam family: Bacterial large subunit ribosomal RNA
Source: RNAcentral